GCGGCUAUGGCGGAAUUGGCAGACGCGGCGGGUUUAGGUCCCGUUGGGCAACCGUGCAGGUUCGAGUCCUGUUAGCCGCA
This 80-nucleotide transfer RNA is filed under the name Candidatus Scatomonas pullistercoris. Its description in RNAcentral is "tRNA-Leu". It matches the Rfam family "tRNA". From Rfam's summary of the family: Transfer RNA (tRNA) molecules are approximately 80 nucleotides in length. Their secondary structure includes four short double-helical elements and three loops (D, anti-codon, and T loops). Lineage: Bacteria; Bacillati; Bacillota; Clostridia; Lachnospirales; Lachnospiraceae. The record is from RNAcentral.